CCCAGGUGCUUUUACAUUCCCCCACAGUUCUCCCAUAUAAUCUUGAAAGGCCAAAGAGCUUUAAAACACAAAACAAGCAAGAAAAGACCCCUCUUCACCCUUCUCAUGGGUGAUGAAGUACCACACACUACUCACUGCUUUUUCACUUUAAUAGAGAUAAAACCAACUUUAAGCCCUUACACAGCAGCAGCCAGAGCACAUGAGCCCCUACACCAGUUGGCCAGACACAACAGUUUCCCCUCUGAGGAGAUAAAGAAAAUCCCAGCAUAGAGAUACCAAUGCCCACAGGCUCACCUACAAAUCCCACCUUCUAGGUGGCUCCAGACCAAGCCUGAGCCCAGCCUGCAUCCCAUGGUGGAGCUUCACCAUCACCCCUCUCUCCCAGCUGCAACAAGGAACAAAAGCUAACCAUGCCCCCCUUCCUCUUACAGAAAACUACAAAAUUUAGCACUUUCAGAAGAACAAAGUAACAGAACAACCAACUCACCAGAUAGCAGAACACAGCGAACAGCUUCUUCCUCUCCAGUAAGCCCCCAAAGAAAUGAACCACCUCCUCCCUGCCCUAUUUAAAGAACAACCCCCGCCUGCUCCAGGUGCCAACGAGAUGCACCUGAGCAGGGCAAGAGCUCCAAAAGGAGAAGUGCCCCAAUCCUCCCCAGCUGUGCAGGCUAAUGAAGAGCACCUGUGCCUCUUUGAAGAGGUGGGCUGUGCUGUCCCAACAUCUUGCCCAAGCAAUCUCUAAACGGGUUUUCAUUGUCCCUUGUUUUGCUCUUGAUCAGACAAAUAACAGUGUGAGAGAGAUGGUGGAGAGCAUAGAGGAGAACAGUCCCUAAUAAUGGAUUGGGGGAAGGGGAGAAAUUCUGCUCUGACACCAAAUGAGUUGAUGGAAUGAUUCUCCUUCCAUAGGCUUUGCAUCUGCCUAUUAAAGUCUUGUUUUCUGAUAGAGAUGUAACAUUCAAGCCCCCUUUAGCAAAUAAAACAAACCAAACAGUGGAAAGGACCACUAAGUUCACUAAGUCCAACCACCAACCCACUACCACCAUGCUGACUAACCAUGUCCCGCAGUGCCGGGGGAAGGCAGAAGGUAUUUUGGCACCAGGGUGGCUCCAAAGUCCAGGCAGGGCCAUGCAAGUGCCUAUUUCUAUGCAGGACCAGGCCUGAGCCAAAGGGAGGCAGAAAUAUUGCAGAAGAAAUGCCGUGAGCCCAAGUGGCUGAGCACAGAGCGCGUCCUUAUCGGCACCCAUAGGCGCCAGGCUGCAGCACACAAAAGGCCCAAGGCAGCCCUGGGGCCGAGCCAGCUUGUCUUAAUGUUUGCCGUUUGGUAAAGCAAACUAAUAAAUCCCCUUGGGUUUAUCCAUGCUUCCAGUUUGUAUUUAUUAGCGAGAAUGACAGGCAAGUUUUCCUCCCGGUUCCACAGGAAAAUAGCAAUACAUCUCCCACGCCCUUCCCCUUUUAACGGCCUGGCUCUCUGUUUGCUCGCCAUCUCUAAACAAGCCAGGAUUACACAACUGACCGACACUGAAGGCAAACAGCCUUUGAAGUCAAUAUUAGUUAUGAACUCGGAAGGGUCCGUGUCUGGGAGCUGCCAUCCAUCCCCAGAGCAGGGCGGGAGGAAGGCAGCACCCAUUCAGUCUUGGGCUAAUAGGGGCAGCUUUGGCAGGGAAGAGCUGUGAGAAAGGAUCCCAAAAGCAGAUGUCCUCCAGCAGCAGUGCCAGUGGUUUGCAUCCUACUGCAGAGGAAUGUGGACACAUGUUGGCCAUGCCACGGUGCAGUUCUUCUUGGCCAAGGAAGAACGGUGUCCCCGGUGUGCCAUCAGGUUUGGCUCAUGGAUGGGAAUGCUGUCAUUUGCCCGAAGUACCUGCUCACUGCUCCAUGAGGCAUGGCUCCACUCCACCAGGAGGAGAAAAGAGCAUCAGUCCCACCUCAAACACGAGCACUGGCAAAGGGCUGAGCAUCACCUUGGCUUCUGCCUCCAAGGACACUUAAUCAGUGACAAUGGAUUUGACAUCACCAUUUACCCAUCGUCACCAAACCAAACACCAAGCGAUGUCCACAUGUUUCUGGGCUUUGUUGUUCUGCCAUAGUUUUCCCAAGGGCAGUACAUGGUUCUUAAAACACUCUAGCAAUGGUUCCAAAGGAAAGGGCCCAGGACUCCACGUUCCUGACCAAGGUCCUGCUGUCCCAGUGGAGCACAGCAGUCACACCACCAGCUCAAUAUCAAGACCACAAGUCACUCACUCACCACAGCUGAACACCCAACACAUUCAUACACGUGCCCAAGGCUACGGUGCUUUUUAGAUGAAAGAACAUCCUUAGUUUUUUUGUAAUGAAGGCAUAACUCUUAAAAAAAAAAAAAUCAAAGGACAUUUCCAUUACAUAAAUAUCCUUUUUUAACGUUGCAGUUUCCACACAGCACCUUCCAGUGCUUCAGCUCUACAGGGUGGGAGGGGACACACGGUCCACGGACGUGAAACAACAUGAUUUAAGGGGAAUUAAUCUGCAUCUCAGGCGCUUUGGAGCAGGAGGCAUGUGAGGGGUGGCCGCCUAGUUGGCGGGUGAUGGUUAAGGGGUUGCAGAAAGGAAAGAGGGAAAGGACAGGGAAGAUUUUUUUCUGCAAAGCAAAGGCAUUAAGCUCUUGGCCUGGCUUUACCGGGGCAGAGAAGUUUGCCAAAGCGCCGGUUUCCUGUGCAAUCAAACCCGUCCACUCGGCAGCACCGCGAUAGGGCCAUGAUGUAAGUGUGGCUGAGCCAAGGCAAACGGAAAAGAACAGCGAGCACUCCGAGAGGCAACGGAUUUUAUUAAGCAGUUUAAUUGUUUCUGAGGGUGACAUUUUUCCCUUCUUGACGUUCCCCUCACUGCGGUUUGGCCUUGCGCCCCCCAGAAUCCCACCUAAUCCCUAUGGGAUGUGCUGGGGAGGAUGCAGCCAUGCGAUGUGAAGGGACACAGCUCCCAGUUUCAGACCCAAGGCACUGCGGUUGCCAGCUCUUGGUGUGCUGCUCCCAUUGCUUCUCCAGAGGCGUUCACCCCUCUGCAUGGGGCUGCACCCUGUGCUGGUCCAAGCAUCCUCAUUAAGAGCCCAAAAUCCCAAAAAGAUUCAGAAAGAAGAACGGAGGAGGGAAAAAAUAAAAUUAAAUUAAAAUCCACAGCUACUUCCUUGGAACCAGGGCAAGCUCUUGGUCCUUCACAAGGGAAAAAAUGGAGCUACUGUUUGACCUGAGAGCACGCAGCCAUCCAGCCCCACAGAUCCUGAGGCCACCCGGCCAGGAGGAGGAUGUACAGAGCGCAGCAGGGAGCAGUAAUUCAGCCAUCCCUGCCCUGCGUGGGUGCAGCAGAGCGAGGUCAGCUCAGGACCCUGGAUCACAGCGAGCGGCGGUGGGUGGCUGCACUGGGGCCGUUCCCAUGUCAGCGCUGGGGGAAGGAGCACAGGAUGACCCCGGGUGCACCCCGAUCCCUGAGGGCUGCUGGGCACUGUGCUGCCUCUGCCCUUCCUCCCUCCCAUCCGCAGCGAUGUGCUGGUGCACCUUGAGCCUCCACUGUUGGCCCUGCAAAGGAAAAAUCCAGCAUUAGUGGGUUGUGAUGGAGGAAAUUGUCAUUCCUCUUGGUUACUCUUUGGGGCGAUGGAUGGGGGAGGCACACCAGCAGCCCUCAGUGUCAUCUCCAAGCCCUGACACCAAGGCCAGCGGGGACCCACUGGAGCCCAACACCCACACCCAGCUUAAGGGCAAGAAGGAGACAUGGCUGGGGGCUGGCAAGAGGAAAUCAAAUGGCUGUUUCCAUAGAACAGACAAAACCACUGCACGUGAGAGUACACAGGGAGGGGAACCAGCU
This 3828-nucleotide long non-coding RNA is filed under the name Gallus gallus (chicken). RNAcentral's name for it is "lncRNA (ENSGALG00010030042.1)". Lineage: Eukaryota; Metazoa; Chordata; Aves; Galliformes; Phasianidae. The record is from RNAcentral.